CCUACGGGAGGCAGCAGUGAGGAAUAUUGGUCAAUGGCCGGAAGGCUGAACCAGCCAUGCCGCGUGAAGGUCAGUGCCCUAUGGGCGUUAAACUUCUUUUGUGCGGGAGCAAUAAUGGUCACGUGUGGCCAGACGAGAGUACCGUACGAAUAAGCAUCGGCUAACUCCGUGCCAGCAGCCGCGGGAAUACGGGGGAGGCAAGCGUUAUCCGGAUUUAUUGGGGUUAAAGGGUGCGUAGGCUGGGAGGUAAGUCAGCGGGGAAAAGCCCCGGGUCAACGGGGUGAAGUGCCAUUGAUACUGCCUUGCUUGAGUGCGGAUGCCGUGGGAGGAAUGUGUGGUGUAGCGGUGAAAUGCAUAGAUAUCACACAGAACACCGAUUGCGAAGGCAUCUCACGGAUCCGCGAUUGACGCUGAUGCACGAAAGCGUGGGUAUCAAACAGGAUUAGAUACCCUUGUAGUC
This 460-nucleotide ribosomal RNA is filed under the name uncultured bacterium. Its description in RNAcentral is "partial 16S ribosomal RNA". It matches the Rfam family "Bacterial small subunit ribosomal RNA", at positions 338 to 795 of the family's 1533-position model. The record is from RNAcentral.